Molecule: ribosomal RNA, 1398 nt
Filed under: uncultured bacterium
Lineage: Bacteria
Description: bacterial SSU rRNA
Rfam family: Bacterial small subunit ribosomal RNA
Source: RNAcentral
AGGAUCCUUCGAUAGAAGGUUAGUGGCGAACGGGUGAGUAAUACGUGGGUGACCUGCCCUGAAGAGGGGGAUAACCACUGGAAACGGUGGCUAAUACCCCAUGUGAUCGCGAGGGUUAGAGGCCUGGCGAUUAAAGCUCCGGCGCUUCGGGAGGGGCUCAUGGCCUAUCAGCUAGUUGGUGGGGUAAUGGCCUACCAAGGCUAUGACGGGUAGCUGGUCUGAGAGGACGAUCAGCCACACUGGCACUGAGACACGGGCCAGACUCCUACGGGAGGCAGCAGUGAGGAAUAUUGGACAAUCAACGAAAGUUGGAUCCAGCAACGCCGCGUGAGCGAUGAAGGCCCUCGGGUUGUAAAGCUCUUUUCUGGGGGAAGAGGAAGGACGGUACCCCAGGAAUAAGCCUCGGCUAACUACGUGCCAGCAGCCGCGGUAAAACGUAGGAGGCAAGCGUUAUCCGGAUUUACUGGGCGUAAAGCGCGUGCAGGCGGUCUGGUAAGUUGGGUGUGAAAUCUCCUGGCUCAACUGGGAGGGGUCAUUCAAUACUGCCAGACUUGAGGGUGGAAGAGGGGAGUGGAAUUUCCGGUGUAGUGGUGAAAUGCGUAGAUAUCGGAAGGAAUACCAGUGGCGAAGGCGGCUCCCUGGUCCACAUCUGACGCUAAGACGCGAAAGCUAGGGUAGCGAAUGGGAUUAGAGACCCCAGUAGUCCUAGCUGUAAACGGUGGAUACUAGGUGUAGGGAGUAUUGACCCUCUCUGUGCCGAAGCUAACGCGUUAAGUAUCCCGCCUGAGGACUACGACCGCAAGGUUAAAACUCAAAGGAAUUGACGGGUUCCCGCACAAGCAGCGGAGCGUGUGGUUUAAUUCGAUGCUACACGAAGAACCUUACCAGGGCUUGACAUGCAAGUAGUAGUGAAGCGAAAGCGGAACGAUCCUUCGGGAAGCUUGCACAGGUGCUGCAUGGCUGUCGUCAGCUCGUGCCGUGAGGUGUUAGGUUAAGUCCUGUAACGAGCGCAACCCUUGCCGUUAGUUACAUGUGUCUAACGGGACUGCCGGUGCAAACCGGAGGAAGGUGGGGAUGACGUCAAGUCAGCAUGGCCUUUAUGUCCUGGGCUACACACACGCUACAAUGGCCGGUACAAUGGGUUGCCAAGUCGCGAGGCGGAGCUAAUCCUCCAAAGCCGGUCUCAGUUCGGAUUGUAGGCUGCAACUCGCCUGCAUGAAGCUGGAGUUGCUAGUAAACGCGCGUCAGCUAUAGUGCGUUGAAUACGUUCCCGGGAAUUGUACACACCGCCCGUCACGUCAUGAAAGCUGGUAACACCUGAAGUCGGUGGGCUAACCGAAAGGAGGCAGCUGUCGAAGGUGGGACUGGUGACUGGGACGAAGUCGUAACAACGUAACC